GGUAACACGUGGGCAACCUGCCUUGGAGUGGGGGAUAACCUGGGGAAACUCGGGCUAAUACCGCAUACGUCUCGAGAACUACGGUUCGAGAGCGAAAGCUGGCCUCUACAUGUAAGCUGGCGCUCCUUGAGGGGCCCGCGUUCGAUUAGCUAGUUGGUGAGGUAACGGCUCACCAAGGCUACGAUCGAUAGCCGGCCUGAGAGGGUGAUCGGCCACACUGGGACUGAGACACGGCCCAGACUCCUACGGGAGGCAGCAGUGGGGAAUAUUGGACAAUGGGGGCAACCCUGAUCCAGCAACGCCGCGUGGAGGACGAAGGCCUUCGGGUCGUAAACUCCUGUCAGAUGGGACGAAAAGGCGUCGUUAAAUAGGCGGCGCUCAUGACGGUACCACCAGAGGAAGCCCCGGCUAACUCCGUG
This 419-nucleotide ribosomal RNA is filed under the name uncultured bacterium. Its description in RNAcentral is "bacterial SSU rRNA". It matches the Rfam family "Bacterial small subunit ribosomal RNA", at positions 109 to 507 of the family's 1533-position model. The record is from RNAcentral.